This 72-nucleotide transfer RNA is filed under the name Acidimicrobiales bacterium. RNAcentral describes it as "tRNA-Pro". It matches the Rfam family "tRNA". Rfam says of the family: Transfer RNA (tRNA) molecules are approximately 80 nucleotides in length. Their secondary structure includes four short double-helical elements and three loops (D, anti-codon, and T loops). Further hydrogen bonds mediate the characteristic L-shaped molecular structure. tRNAs have two regions of fundamental functional importance: the anti-codon, which is responsible for specific mRNA codon recognition, and the 3' end, to which the tRNAs corresponding amino acid is attached (by aminoacyl-tRNA synthetases). tRNAs cope with the degeneracy of the genetic code in two manners: having more than one tRNA (with a specific anti-codon) for a particular amino acid; and 'wobble' base-pairing, i.e. permitting non-standard base-pairing at the 3rd anti-codon position. Lineage: Bacteria; Bacillati; Actinomycetota; Acidimicrobiia; Acidimicrobiales. The record is from RNAcentral.
GGGCCAAUGGUCUAGGGGUAUGAUUCUCGCUUUGGGUGCGAGAGGUCGGGGGUUCGAAUCCCCCUUGGCCCC